GACGUAGGGCGCAAGCGUUGUCCGGAUUUAUUGGGCGUAAAGAGCUCGUAGGCGGCCUGUCGCGUCGACCGUGAAAACCCGCAGCUCAACUGCGGGCUUGCGGUCGAUACGGGCAGGCUGGAGUUCGGUAGGGGAGACUGGAAUUCCUGGUGUAGCGGUGAAAUGCGCAGAUAUCAGGAGGAACACCAACGGCGAAGGCAGCUCUCUGGGACGUUACUGACGCUGAGACGCGAAAGCGUGGGGAGCAAACAGG
RNAcentral lists this ribosomal RNA (253 nucleotides) under uncultured bacterium. RNAcentral describes it as "partial 16S ribosomal RNA". It matches the Rfam family "Bacterial small subunit ribosomal RNA", at positions 524 to 776 of the family's 1533-position model. The record is from RNAcentral.